Molecule: long non-coding RNA, 903 nt
Organism: Oncorhynchus kisutch (coho salmon)
Lineage: Eukaryota; Metazoa; Chordata; Actinopteri; Salmoniformes; Salmonidae
Exons: 4
Source: RefSeq, a predicted model, not a curated record
AAUAAUAUUCUAUUGUGUACUUUUACAUGAAUUAAACAUUGUUUGUCUAAAUAACUGCAUAAACUUUCACAGUCUCAUCAGUAAAUAUUUACUUAGUUGAGGAAAUUUGUCCAGGAAGGGACAUGAUGAAGACUGUAAAUACAAUAAAUAAAUCAGUAAAAUCAUAAAGAAGCUUUCAACAGAAUUUGUUGAAACAAUUGGUUGGGUUUCUGGUAAUGGAACUUUUGUUUCUCAGUAAAGUGUUUGUUAUCUGUGGUCUGCUAACCAGUAAACCUAAACUACGGGUCUGAGGCAGGCGCCUUGCAAGUUGUGAAAACAUUUCACAGGUUGAAAAGGAAGUUUGUCAUCCACUUCUCUGCUGCACAACUUUGCCUUUGGUAUUCAAGCUAAGAAGCAUGUGCUGAUAUGGCAGGUGACAAAAAGCGCCUGUUUUCUGUGGUCUGCUAACCAGUAAACCUAAACCACGGGUCUGAGGCAGGCACCUCAUGUUGAAAAGGAAGACUGCUCCCUGACCUACCUGAGUCUUGCAGGAAAUCAACUGAUGGACGGCAGAGUGGCCACCCUCGCCAGGUGUUGGCCUGUCUGUCUCUCCGUGGUGUAUGUGGACCUGUCAGAGAAACAGGCAGGGACCUCAGUGGGACUCCACAGCCUCCUCUCCACCCAGCUACCUUUGACCUAUCUGAACCUCCAUGCAACCUCCCAACAUUUGCUGAUGGACUGAAGAAAUGGUCAAGCUGAGAAAUGAUUAAAUCGCUUUGAUCUGUCAUGUUCCCCCUAGUCUCUUCCCACAGCCACUGUAUCUCUGACACAACACUGGGGGUGGAGCAUCAUGAGUCUUACCAGUGAAACAAUGUUCACACCCAACUGGUUGUGAGUUUAAAAUAAACACAGCUUCACACUUUG